GUAAAUGCGUUGAUAAGGAAUAGUACAUGAAAACUGGAGCACAGAGAGCUGUCGGCUGGUGGAAGACAGUGGAAGGGAAUCAUGGAACUCACCUUGGAGUAUCUGCCCCAAAGCCAGUGGUUAGUAGGCGCAGACGGAAUCCACCGUUAUAUGGAAGGGAUAUAAGGAUUUUCAGCAGACAGAUGCAAGAGGAAGAUUCCGUAUCCUGUGAGUGUAUGAAACUGUUCAUAAAGAAGAGUGGUACCGCGGAAGUAUAAUCUUUCGUCUCUUAC
This 272-nucleotide non-coding RNA is filed under the name Blautia sp. RNAcentral's name for it is "T-box sequence". It matches the Rfam family "T-box leader". Rfam says of the family: Uncharged tRNA acts as the effector for transcription antitermination of genes in the T-box leader family. The record is from RNAcentral. Lineage: Bacteria; Bacillati; Bacillota; Clostridia; Lachnospirales; Lachnospiraceae.